GAACGCUGGCGGCGUGCUUAACACAUGCAAGUCGAACGAAGCACCUUAUUCUGAUUUCUUCGGAAUGAAAAAUUUGGUGACUGAGUGGCGGACGGGUGAGUAACGCGUGGGUAACCUGCCUCAUACAGGGGGAUAACAGUUAGAAAUGACUGCUAAUACCGCAUAAGACCACAGCACCGCAUGGUGCAGGGGUAAAAACUCCGGUGGUAUGAGAUGGACCCGCGUCUGAUUAGGUAGUUGGUGGGGUAACGGCCUACCAAGCCGACGAUCAGUAGCCGACCUGAGAGGGUGACCGGCCACAUUGGGACUGAGACACGGCCCAAACUCCUACGGGAGGCAGCAGUGGGGAAUAUUGCACAAUGGGGGAAACCCUGAUGCAGCGACGCCGCGUGAGCGAUGAAGUAUUUCGGUAUGUAAAGCUCUAUCAGCAGGGAAGAAAAUGACGGUACCUGACUAAGAAGCACCGGCUAAAUACGUGCCAGCAGCCGCGGUAAUACGUAUGGUGCAAGCGUUAUCCGGAUUUACUGGGUGUAAAGGGAGCGUAGACGGAGUGGCAAGUCUGAUGUGAAAACCCGGGGCUCAACCCCGGGACUGCAUUGGAAACUGUCAAUCUAGAGUACCGGAGAGGUAAGCGGAAUUCCUAGUGUAGCGGUGAAAUGCGUAGAUAUUAGGAGGAACACCAGUGGCGAAGGCGGCUUACUGGACGGUAACUGACGUUGAGGCUCGAAAGCGUGGGGAGCAAACAGGAUUAGAUACCCUGGUAGUCCACGCCGUAAACGAUGACUACUAGGUGUUGGGCAGCAAAGCUGUUCGGUGCCGCAGCAAACGCAAUAAGUAGUCCACCUGGGGAGUACGUUCGCAAGAAUGAAACUCAAAUGAAUUGACGG
This 887-nucleotide ribosomal RNA is filed under the name uncultured bacterium. RNAcentral describes it as "bacterial SSU rRNA". It matches the Rfam family "Bacterial small subunit ribosomal RNA", at positions 31 to 916 of the family's 1533-position model. The record is from RNAcentral.